AUUGAACGCUGGCGGCAGGCCUAACACAUGCAAGUCGAACGAGUGGCGGACGGGUGAGUAAUGUCUGGGAAACUGCCUGAUGGAGGGGGAUAACUACUGGAAACGGUAGCUAAUACCGCAUACCAUCGGAUGUGCCCAGAUGGGAUUAGCUAGUAGGUGGGGUAAAGGCUCACCUAGGCGACGAUCCCUAGCUGGUCUGAGAGGAUGACCAGCGCCACUGGACGUGAGCGACGGUACAGACUCCUACGUGAGGCCGCAGUGUGGAAUAUUGCACAAUGGGCGCAAGGCUGAUGCAGCCGUGCCGCGUGUAUGAAGCAGGCCUUCGGGUUGUAAAGUACGUUCAGCGGGGAGGCGUUACACGCAGAAGAAGCACCGGCUAACUCAGUGCCAGCCGCAGCGGUAAUAC
Molecule: ribosomal RNA, 406 nt
Filed under: uncultured bacterium
Lineage: Bacteria
Description: partial 16S ribosomal RNA
Rfam family: Bacterial small subunit ribosomal RNA
Source: RNAcentral